Molecule: long non-coding RNA, 3775 nt
Filed under: Olea europaea subsp. europaea
Lineage: Eukaryota; Viridiplantae; Streptophyta; Magnoliopsida; Lamiales; Oleaceae
Source: RNAcentral
GGUCACAAUUUUUAGGCCAUAUAUUACAAAUUGAUCAAUUAUUAAUCACAAUUAACCAAAUAAUUAGUCACGAGCAUCCAACACAAUUUCUUCCCACCGACAACCAACGCUACAACCACCAUCACUAUCACCAUUAUUGCCACCACCACUGCAAAACAAUACAAAACUGUCGUCGGUUUGCCACUACAGUGACCACCAUCACCACUGAAGCCAACACCACCACCAUCAACGUCACGGGCAGCAACACUACCUCCUGUACUAAAAAUCACAACUCCUAUCUCAAUCACACUACAAUCACCACAUUUAAUAAAAAAUGUCUAAAUCUGAUGCUGUCGCCGCCGCCACUUCAUCACUACCACUGCCUUAUAAACAAUAAUCACCACGACCUCCUCAAAUUCACGACAGAAAGCAGUCCAAUAGUAACGUUGUUGCCUCACCUCUGUGCGCAGUGGCAGUGGGCCUCAACUAAACCGGUAGAUCUCUUGCAACGCUUAUCGUCGUCUCUCUAGCAGUGCUCGUCGCUGCACACUAAUUGAGCCACUGACCGCUUGUUCGACAACGACGAGCGCUUGUAGGGACGGUCGACGCAAGUCCAUGGCCAGCUGUCGAAGUUUGAAUUGAUGAAAGGAGAGAGGAAGAAAAAAGGAUGAGCAGGCAUAUAGAGAGGGAGAGGAAAAUGAAAAUAAAUUAGGGUUGGAUAAAAUUUGUAUUAUAUUAUUUAAUAAUUAAAAUAUCUUAUUUUUGAACAAUGAAAAACCUUCGCUAUGAUUUUAGAAUAUUGAUCUUGAAAAGUAGGUGAGGAUGUAAUUUCCACAAAUAAUAAUAAUAAUUAAAUUUGCAUUUGAAUUUUAGCCCUCAUUUGAUAACAAUUUUUCACCCCAAAAAAAUUGAUUUUUUUUUUUAAUCUCUAUUUCACUAUUUCUAACAUUCAUUUUUACUCCUUCACUUAUAGAUGGAACCCACUUUUCUCUCUAACGGUUAAAAAAUCAAUUCUCAUACUCACUACCAAACAGGUCCUUAAAAAAUUGAUUGCAUCAACAUAAUUUCUCCACUGGCUCGAUCUUUGGCAGAUUUUUAUGGCACGAUUUGUCCAUUUUUAUACCCCUAUCUAAGACAAAUAUUUUACCCGCCAAGUAAUCAACCCCGAAAACUAAUUGAAGUUCAGAAAAUUCUACUCGUACAUAAUUAUUGCACAUAAUGAUGUCCAUAAUGUGAUGUAGCAAUCAUUUAAUUGUUGAUGUACAAGUGUGAAAUUUGAAUUAAAGAUUGGAUCUGAUACCACGUAUAAUUAUGAACACCAUUAUGUAGACAAUUAUGUACAUAUAGCACUUCCCUUAAAGUUUUGAGUCACAAUACCACCUCCAACAAAAUUGAAACCUCAUACAUAGAUGGCCAAAAAAUAAAAAAAUUCAAAUCUCACAUACAUACCUUAAGACUCUGUAAAACUUGGCCACUUCGCAGAUUCGAAAAUGGAUUCGAAAAUAAAAAAAUUCCAAGACUUGCUCAAAAAUUUCCAGUUAUCACUUUGAAUGAGUAAUUAAAAAAGGGUCAAUUUGGCAGAAAUUAAAAUUAAAAUUUUAAUAAUUUAAGUUAAAGUUAAUAGUUAAAUUUUACCAUACAUUUUAUGGGAUCACAACUGCUCAAUCUACGUUUCAUCAACUUUUAUCAAAAUCUACUAAAAAUUUAAUUUUAAUAUCUACCAAACAGAAACUACGUUAAAUAGACAAUAAUUAGUUGAAACUUGGUAAGGGAAUAGAAUAAGAUAUACAAGAUUAACUUGGUGUGGGGUGCAAGUGAUAUUCUAAGGUCAACAAACCUGGUUGGAUUUUGUAAUAACACGAACAAGAAUAUAUAACUAAAUGCAAAUUAGGUCCUCUCCAUCAAUCAGGCUUGCCUCUCUGGCUCUCUUCCUUCUUUUGGCCAGUGGAUUCUCCUUGAACGGUUAGUUGGGAUCAUUUUUAUUAUUAUUCAUUUUACAUAAGAAAAUGUAAUACUUUAAAACCGAUAAUAUGUUUCAAAAUUCAUGAAGAAUUUGUGAAAUUUCUAGCUGGUUGUGUUAUUUUGUAGAAUUGUGAGCUAGUCUUGAGUACAAACAAAUUCGAAGAUGCUGAAGAACUGAUUCAGAAACUUAACCAAAUGAAAUAUCAAAUUAAUUUAGAGUUAAGGAAGAGAAAGGUGAGAAUCAAGAAUCAAUUUCAUUGUCUUUUCUCGUUUUUAUUCUGCUAGAAUGAUUUUUUUAUGAAAUUUCUUGUUCCUGAAUCAUCAAUGAUGUUACCAGGUAGCAAAUAUAACUGGGAUAGAGUCACCCAUCUAGUGCACGGGGAAAAACACCGACUCCAUUACUUGCAAAAGAGAAUAAUAGAAGGGUAUGAUCAAAUCAUAUACCUUUUCAGUAUUAUAUUUUGUUCCUUUCCCCUCGUUGGUUUCUGAAUCAUAAAGCUGGAAACAGAUUCAACAAUUGUGUCAUCGUGUGCAACGUGGCAAUAACAAUUUAGCAGAGGAGAGGAGAAUACUGAAAAAAAUUAAGCAUGCUAAAGAACAAGAAAAGGCUUUUUCCGAUGUAGAUAUAAAACCAAGAAAGGACUAUUGCCGGUGCUUAAACAUUCCCGACUCAGAAGAAGAAGAAGAAGUUAAAGAUCAAAUUAAUGCAAGUAUUUGCCUAACAUCAUCCUUGUAGAAUUUUUAAACUUCGGUCAAUUGAUGUAAUAUUCUUUUCUUUUAGCUGCCUAAUUUAAUGCAGCUCGUACUCAGUGUAUUCCAAGAGUUGAAGAACAAACAAAAGCCAGUUGUUUUCUACGAGGAAAAUCUUAGGAAAGAGUCGGAGGAAGCCAAAAAGGAUAUUUCUUUCUUCCGAAAACAGUUGGAAGGCAUAGACAAGAAGAAACAUGAACUCUAUGAGUACAUUCUUGAUCUCAGAAAGCAAAGAGGAGGAAUUUCAGAUAUUUACUGAGAAUUCUCUGCUAAAAAAAUCUCCCACAAGGACCUAUUUAAACCACAUUUUUUCCCCGGAAUUCAUUUUGAAAUAGUGUUUCAAUGAUAAUGUGUAUUUAAAGGAUUUAAAAAAAAAAAUUUUGAACUUGCAUUUAAUGAAGAAUGAAUAGUUAAAAAUAAAAGAGAAAGAAACUAAUGAAAACCAAACAAUGGCUUCAAGGUUUGGUAAGCUGGACUAACUAAUUGUUGUGAAGUUUGCAAUGCUGAGAUUUUAUAUAUGGGGUUAAAUUCACACGGGCCACUCAGCAAUAUACUUAACGUUAUCAUGAUCACCUAAUUUGAUUUUAUUUCACGAUGACUACUAAUUUUAUACUUAGUGUCACUAUGUCUACCUAAUUUCAUAUAACGUUUUGAUGAAAUAAAAUCAAAUUGAGACAAUAAAUAUAAAGUUCAUCGGCCACAAUGAAACCAAAACAAAUUGUAUGGCUAUGAUGAAACUAAGAGCUUGUUUGGCACAGUUAAAAAGUCAGUUAUAAUCAAUUUUUUUUUAUCGUUAUCUCACUAUUACGACCAUCAUUUUUGAAUUCUUCUCUCACGCAUGGGACCCACUUUAUUUCCAACGGUCUAAAAAUCAAUUAUCCCGGGUGAGUAAAAAAAAAAUAUUUUCCCCCUAUAUGUAUUAUGUCAACCACAUGUUUCGUCUAGCAUGGUUCUUUAUAUAAUUUCAUUUUACAUUAGACAAAUUAUAGGUAUCCUACAGUACUGUCCCGUCAAAAAUAAAAAGUUCAGCAGGAUACAAUUGUCAUUUUUGAAAAGGCUAGGGACCCAAUUGCAAUAUUCCCAA